GGAUGAUUAGCAUUCAAAUGUUAGCGGUGCUCCUGGCUGCUGCUGGCUCACUGCUUUGUGUCACCAUGUCUGCUCAUGACAGUUUACGCUUCCCCUCUCGCUUUUUCUUCUCUUUCUGUGGCACGCUGUCUUCCUUAACUCCUCCUCUUUCUGUUCCUCCUCUCACUACAGCACGUCCCUCCCUUCCUUCUUCUGUGUCUCCACUGCCCUCCCGCUCUCCUCCCUUUUCUCUCCUUCCCUCUUGGCAGUGGUGCCAAAGUGGGCAGGCAGAGCGAGGCAAACGCAUCACAGGGCAGAGCAGAGGGCAAUCGGAAGGCUGGCAGAUUCGUCACGUGGACGUUUUGUGUUUUGAGCCAUCGCCGUGCGGGCGAGUUAAGACUUUGCUUUUUGGACGGGCUGUGUGUGAGCAGACGUCUCUCUGUCACUGUGCACGAACAGACGCGCUCACGCCAGUAGGAGGGGAUUGUGGGAAAGGGGUGUAGCUCUCAGAGGGUGUGCUCUACUCCUCUCGUUUCCCUUCUUCCCGCCAUCACGGCCCUCUUCUCCGCCAGUCCUCCGAGCCCAGCCCGCAGCGCACUCGCAGCCUCCAGAAAAAAAAAAGUCUUUGUGGCCGUUUGCUGCUGAAGCAGGAUGAAUGCUGUCCUUGGGGCUGAGGUAGUAGAUUGAAUAGUUGUGGGGUUUUUUAACCUCUUUGUCAGAUAACUAUACAAUCUACUGUCUUUCCCAAGGAGAUAGCUGAACCAGCCAGUCGUCCACUGUCAUCUCCUGAUGGACAACCACGCUGCUCAUUAAAAAAAAAAAGAUCUGCAUUCCGACAGAUGUAUGUAAAUUUUUUUAGCUAUAAAAAUGAAAUUUGUUUAACGCUCCGAGGGGUAAAAAUGUGACGUUUGACUCGGGUUCUGUCAGGGUGAGGUAGUAGGUUGUAUAGUUUGGUGGGUGGGACUGCACCCUGCUCAGGUGAUAACUAUACAGUCUAUUGCCUUCCCUGAGGAGCUUACUGGACAGUGGAUAUUUACCUCGACAUGUUGACUCACGUUAAAGAGCAGGAGCAUCAACGGCACCUUUGAAGGAUCAGAGUUUACCUAAUGAAAAUUUUUUUUGUGURUUGUUGUGUUUUAAAAUCUGUACAUCCCAAUAAAGUUACACCCUUGUCCAAGA
Long non-coding RNA from Austrofundulus limnaeus, 1158 nucleotides. RefSeq lists it as uncharacterized. The record is from RefSeq and is a predicted model, not a curated record. Lineage: Eukaryota; Metazoa; Chordata; Actinopteri; Cyprinodontiformes; Rivulidae. The transcript has 3 exons.